CAGAUCUGAACUCUCAGCGAGCUUAGGGUUUGGGUUCGGGAGCAACCAGGAAGCGGCCUCGGCCUCUUCGCGGCUAGCAUCGCCGUCGGGAUCGGAGUAAUAACGGUCGUCAACUAGAAGGUUGACGGCGUUGGACUUAGCAGCAGCGGCGGCAGAGUCGUAGAACGGCACCACCGGAACUCGCUCGUGGCGGCGAGCGAGAGGGUUGGCGGAGUGGAUAUCGCGGUCGCAUGUGACGCAGAGAGCGGCGGCGUCGGCCUUGCACGUGACAUGGGCAGGAGCCUGCUCGCAGACCUCGCACAUCCACACCCGCGCGUGGCGAGAGGCGAGCU
Molecule: long non-coding RNA, 332 nt
Filed under: Vitis vinifera (wine grape)
Lineage: Eukaryota; Viridiplantae; Streptophyta; Magnoliopsida; Vitales; Vitaceae
Description: long non-coding RNA (VVIN_LNC000994)
Source: RNAcentral